RNAcentral lists this ribosomal RNA (443 nucleotides) under uncultured bacterium. RNAcentral describes it as "bacterial SSU rRNA". It matches the Rfam family "Bacterial small subunit ribosomal RNA", at positions 331 to 792 of the family's 1533-position model. The record is from RNAcentral.
CCAGACUCCUACGGGAGGCAGCAGUGGGGAAUAUUGCACAAUGGGCGAAAGCCUGAUGCAGCAACGCCGCGUGAGCGAUGAAGGCCUUCGGGUCGUAAAGCUCUGUCCUCAAGGAAGAUAAUGACGGUACUUGAGGAGGAAGCCCCGGCUAACUACGUGCCAGCAGCCGCGGUAAUACGUAGGGGGCUAGCGUUAUCCGGAAUUACUGGGCGUAAAGGGUGCGUAGGUGGUUUCUUAAGUCAGAGGUGAAAGGCUACGGCUCAACCGUAGUAAGCCUUUGAAACUGGGGAACUUGAGUGCAGGAGAGGAGAGUGGAAUUCCUAGUGUAGCGGUGAAAUGCGUAGAUAUUAGGAGGAACACCAGUUGCGAAGGCGGCUCUCUGGACUGUAACUGACACUGAGGCACGAAAGCGUGGGGAGCAAACAGGAUUAGAUACCCCAGUA